This 253-nucleotide ribosomal RNA is filed under the name uncultured bacterium. Its description in RNAcentral is "partial 16S ribosomal RNA". It matches the Rfam family "Bacterial small subunit ribosomal RNA", at positions 524 to 776 of the family's 1533-position model. The record is from RNAcentral.
UACGUAGGGGGCAAGCGUUGUCCGGAAUCAUUGGGCGUAAAGAGCGUGUAGGCGGCCCGGUAAGUCCGCUGUGAAAGUCCAGGGCUCAACCCUGGGAUGCCGAUCGAUACUGCCGGACUAGAGUCCGGAAGAGGCGAGUGGAAUUCCUGGUGUAGCGGUGGAAUGCGCAGAUAUCAGGAGGAACACCAAUAGCGAAGGCAGGUCUCUGGGCUGACACUGACGCUCAUGCACGAAAGCGUGGGGAGCAAACAGG